UAACGGCUUACCAAGGCGACGAUCAGUAGCCGACCUGAGAGGGUGAUCGGCCACAUUGGAACUGAGACACGGUCCAAACUCCUACGGGAGGCAGCAGUGGGGGAUAUUGCACAAUGGGCGAAAGCCUGAUGCAGCAACGCCGCGUGAGUGAUGAAGGCCUUCGGGUCGUAAAACUCUGUCCUCAAGGAAGAUAAUGACGGUACUU
RNAcentral lists this ribosomal RNA (205 nucleotides) under Clostridioides difficile. RNAcentral describes it as "partial 16S ribosomal RNA". It matches the Rfam family "Bacterial small subunit ribosomal RNA", at positions 258 to 480 of the family's 1533-position model. Lineage: Bacteria; Bacillati; Bacillota; Clostridia; Peptostreptococcales; Peptostreptococcaceae. The record is from RNAcentral.